UCUGGCUUAUAGCCUAGCGGUCCCGUUAGAGUGCCCAACUUAAUGAUGGUAACUAACGGCGAGGGUUGCGCUCGUUGCGGGACUUAACCCAACAUCUCACAACACGAGCUGACGACAGCCAUGCAGCACCUGUCACCGGGUCCCCGAAGGGAACCCCUGCUUUCACAGGGUAGCCCGGGAUGUCAAGCCCAGGUAAGGUUCUUCGCGUAGCAUCGAAUUAAA
This 222-nucleotide unclassified non-coding RNA is filed under the name uncultured delta proteobacterium. Its description in RNAcentral is "contains 16S-23S intergenic spacer region". Lineage: Bacteria; Deltaproteobacteria. The record is from RNAcentral.